UACGUAGGGACCAAGCGUUGUUCGGAUUUACUGGGCGUAAAGGGCGCGUAGGCGGCGUGACAAGUCACUUGUGAAAUCUCUGGGCUUAACCCAGAGCGGCCAAGUGAUACUGUCGUGCUAGAGUGCGGAAGGGGCAAUCGGAAUUCUCGGUGUAGCGGUGAAAUGCGUAGAUAUCGAGAGGAACACCUGAGGUGAAGACGGGUUGCUGGGCUGAUACUGACGCUGAGGCGCGAAAGCCAGGGGAGCGAACGGG
This 253-nucleotide ribosomal RNA is filed under the name uncultured bacterium. Its description in RNAcentral is "partial 16S ribosomal RNA". It matches the Rfam family "Bacterial small subunit ribosomal RNA", at positions 524 to 776 of the family's 1533-position model. The record is from RNAcentral.